CCACUUGCAAAAAAUCCUGACUUAUCCAUUCGAAUGCCGUUAUUAUUUUCAACCCACUUGCAACCAAAAUAGGAAUCUGAAACUUCUCAUAAUCAAACACCCAAAUGCGCUCAAUAACACCAAAAUACGACAUUAUGACAAAUUUGGGUUUAAGUCCUUCACAUUUGAUAUAUGCAUUGCUUCAGCUACCACGGUGACACCACUAUUCUGCAUAGUACUUUUAUCAUCUUGUUCUUUGGUAUAAAAUGUGUAUCCAUUAAUCGCGUAUGCGCUAU
Molecule: long non-coding RNA, 275 nt
Filed under: Lathyrus oleraceus (garden pea)
Lineage: Eukaryota; Viridiplantae; Streptophyta; Magnoliopsida; Fabales; Fabaceae
Description: Pisum sativum (pea) long non-coding RNA (PSAT_LNC000115)
Source: RNAcentral